AUGUCUUUCUGUGAGGGAGUGACAGUGUGUCCUCGCUGUGGCGGCAUGCAUGUAUCUGCAUCUACGCAGGUGAGCAGAGACCUGAGGGAGCAGCACAGGCAGACACAGCCUCUGAUGGAAGCUUUUCAAUCGCUGUCGCAUCUUCUUAGUGCGCCGAAUCAAUCAAUGAGAAAUACAGCUGACGACAUGCGAGCGUCACUGAGGACACAGAGGACAGCGGUCAGUGACAUGAGAAGACCACUUGAGGAUUUGGCAGAAGUGAGGCGCAUCAUUGAAAGCAGCAACUAGACCCCUGAGAACAGCCAGCAAUUGAUAGAUUAUGUCAUAAAUAAGUGUCCGAAUGCAGAGAUCAGGGAAAGUCUGAAAGGAAGUUCUCAGAGUUUGG
RNAcentral lists this long non-coding RNA (385 nucleotides) under Sparus aurata (gilthead seabream). RNAcentral's name for it is "lncRNA (ENSSAUG00010013988.1)". The record is from RNAcentral. Lineage: Eukaryota; Metazoa; Chordata; Actinopteri; Spariformes; Sparidae.